RNAcentral lists this ribosomal RNA (450 nucleotides) under uncultured Glomeromycotina. RNAcentral describes it as "SSU rRNA". It matches the Rfam family "Eukaryotic small subunit ribosomal RNA", at positions 569 to 1024 of the family's 1831-position model. Lineage: Eukaryota; Fungi; Glomeromycota. The record is from RNAcentral.
AGCAGCCGCGGUAAUUCCAGCUCCAAUAGCGUAUAUUAAAGUUGUUGCAGUUAAAAAGCUCGUAGUUGAAUUUCGGGAUCAAUACGUCGGUCGUGCUUCGGUACGUACUGGCGUAAUUGAUUUCUCCCUUCUGACGAACCAUGAUGUCAUUAACUUGGUGUCAUGGGAAAUCAGGACUGUUACUUUGAAAAAAUUAGAGUGUUUAAAGCAAGCUAACGCUUGAAUACAUUAGCAUGGAAUAAUGAAAUAGGACGUUCGAUCCUAUUUUGUUGGUUUCUAGGAUUGACGUAAUGAUUAAUAGGGAUAGUUGGGGGCAUUAGUAUUCAAUUGUCAGAGGUGAAAUUCUUGGAUUUAUUGAAGACUAACUACUGCGAAAGCAUUUGCCAAGGAUGUUUUCAUUAAUCAAGAACGAAAGUUAGGGGAUCGAAGACGAUCAGAUACCGUCGUAGU